AUUGAAGAAAGAAAAUUCUAAAUUGAAGCACUUUACUUAACUGUAGUGAACAAUAGGUAAAUAAAGAAGAAAGAAAAGAAAAGCGUUUGAGAUCCAUGGAUCCCCCACAUUUGUAGAUACAAGAAUGAAUUAUUAAGAAGAGAAGCUUUUUUUCUACUUUGUUGACCACAGAGACAAUGAAGAGGAUUUGCUUAUAUAUAUAUACGAGGUGUUCUAUAUUCCCUUCUUUACCAAGAAACAAAUACAUGCGAGAAUAAUAGUACAGCCUCUUCAAACACAAAGAAGAGAGAAAUUAAAAAAUGGCUCCCUCUCUAUCGCUCCUCUCCCUCAUUGUCUUUUCUCUCUCCUUACAGUUACUCCCUUCCUCUUCUUAUUCCGUACCGGUGGACACCUUCGUUUAUGGCGGCUGCACGCAACAAAGGUACAAUCCAACCUCGCCGUACGAGUCAAACCUCAACUCGCUACUUGGCUCGCUGGUCAACUCAGCCACAUUCUCCGCCUACAACAACCUCACCGUCCUUUCAUCUUCGCAAAGUGGCGUCGCCUACGGUCUAUACCAGUGCCGAGGCGACCUCGCCAUGCAAGACUGCGCCUCCUGCGUCGCACGUGCCGUCUCACGAGCUGGCGAGCUCUGUCCGGGAGCGUGCGGCGGUGCCGUCCAGCUCGACGGCUGCUUCGUCAAGUACGACAACGUCGCGUUCGUUGGGGUGGAGGACAAGUCGGUGGUACUGAGGAAGUGCGGCUCUCAUUCGGCCGGCUACGAUCCGGAAGCGGUUUUGGUUGGGUUGGCGGGUUCGGGAGGGUACUUUCGGGUUGGAGGUUCGGGUCGGCUGAAGGGUGUGGCUCAGUGCACGGGGGAUCUCAGUGCAGCGGAGUGCCAGGAUUGCGUUGGCGAGGCGGUGCGGCGGCUGAGGAGUGAUUGCGCCGCCUCCGAUUACGGGGACAUGUUUCUGGGGAAGUGCUACGCCAGGUUCUCGACCGGUGGGGCCCAUGGAGGGUACUACAACUCAAAAGCCCAUGGUAGAUCGGACAAUGAAGGUGAGAAGACAUUUGCAAUAAUUAUUGGAUUAUUAGCAGGUGUAGCUUUACUCAUUAUUUUCCUUGCUUUCUUGAGGAGAAUUUGUGAAGGACAAGGUAAAUAAAAUUAUGUUUGUCGUCAAACUCUAUAUGUGGCAUGCACAUUGGCUCUGAUCAUAUUCUCAGCCUUCUCCAAUGAAUUUAAGCAAGAGUUCGAUUUCACGAGAAUAUCAAGCCCCUUGUAUUCAUACCAAUAUCCGUAAGUAGUCCACUUAUGUUAUGGACUUUGUCUUAUGGAGUUAUGACAAUGAAUACAAAAUCAUGGACCAUAAAAUUGAAGAAGGUUGAUAUAGCAUCGCCAAUGCACACUGUUUCUUAUCACGAUUACCAAAAAGGCAAAUAUAUAAAUUGAAUUAUUGCAAGAUAUGAAUAAUGAAUUAUUGUUGCAACCGUU
This is an RNA transcript of Arachis duranensis, 1471 nucleotides long. It is a transcript of the gene named plasmodesmata-located protein 7, with no coding region annotated. The transcript has 5 exons. Lineage: Eukaryota; Viridiplantae; Streptophyta; Magnoliopsida; Fabales; Fabaceae. The record is from RefSeq and is a predicted model, not a curated record.